CCCUUAGAUGUUCUGGGCUGCACGCGCGCUACACUGAUGCACUCAACGAGUUUACGACCUUGCCCGAUAGGGUUGGGUAAUCUUUUUAAAAUGCAUCGUGAUGGGGAUAGAUUAUUGCGAUUAUUAAUCUUCAACGAGGAAUUCCUAGUAAGCGCGAGUCAUCAGCUCGUGCUGAUUACGUCCAUGCCCUUUGUACACACCGCCCGUCGCUCCUACCGAUUGAGUGCUCAGGUGAAUAAUUCGGACUGCAGCAAUGUUUGGAUCCCGAACGUUGCAGCGGAAAGUUUAGUGAACCUUAUCACUUAGAGGAAGGAGAAGUCGUAACA
Molecule: ribosomal RNA, 326 nt
Filed under: uncultured eukaryote
Lineage: Eukaryota
Description: partial 18S ribosomal RNA
Rfam family: Eukaryotic small subunit ribosomal RNA
Source: RNAcentral